UACGGGGGGGGCAAGCGUUGUUCGGAAUUACUGGGCGUAAAGAGCUCGUAGGCGGCUCGGUAAGUCAGGUGUGAAAACUCUAGGCUCAACCUAGAGACGCCACCUGAUACUGCCGUGGCUAGAGUCCGGUAGGGGAGCAUGGAAUUCCUGGUGUAGCGGUGAAAUGCGCAGAUAUCAGGAGGAACACCAGUGGCGAAGGCGGUGCUCUGGGCCGGAACUGACGCUGAGGAGCGAAAGCGUGGGGAGCAAACAGG
Molecule: ribosomal RNA, 254 nt
Filed under: uncultured bacterium
Lineage: Bacteria
Description: partial 16S ribosomal RNA
Rfam family: Bacterial small subunit ribosomal RNA
Source: RNAcentral